AUGCUUUCUUUGGCAGCACUUAUACUAAAAUUGGAAAGAUACAGAGAAGAUUAGCAUGGCACCUGCACAAGGAUGAUAUGUAAAUUCAUGAAGUGUUCCAUAAAAAA
This 107-nucleotide small nuclear RNA is filed under the name Microcebus murinus (gray mouse lemur). Lineage: Eukaryota; Metazoa; Chordata; Mammalia; Primates; Cheirogaleidae. The record is from RNAcentral.